UACGAAGGGUGCAAACGUUGCUCGGAAUCAUUGGGCGUAAAGCGCACGUAGGCGGCCUCAUAAGUCGGAUGUGAAAUCCCUCGGCUCAACCGAGGACGUGCAUUCGAAACUGCGAGGCUCGAGUAUGGAAGAGGGUCGCGGAAUUCCCGGUGUAGAGGUGAAAUUCGUAGAUAUCGGGAGGAACACCAGUGGCGAAGGCGGCGACCUGGGCCAACACUGACACUGAUGAGCGAAAGCCAGGGGAGCAAACGGG
RNAcentral lists this ribosomal RNA (253 nucleotides) under uncultured bacterium. RNAcentral's name for it is "partial 16S ribosomal RNA". It matches the Rfam family "Bacterial small subunit ribosomal RNA", at positions 524 to 776 of the family's 1533-position model. The record is from RNAcentral.